GCUUGCUUUCUUUGCCGGCGACCGGCGCACGGGUGAGUAACACGUAUCCAACCUGCCCUUUACUCGGGGAUAGCCUUUCGAAAGAAAGAUUAAUACCCGAUGGCAUAAUGAUUCCGCAUGGUUUCAUUAUUAAAGGAUUCCGGUAAAGGAUGGGGAGUGCGUUCCAUUAGGUUGUUGGUGAGGUAACGGCCCACCAAGCCUUCGAUGGAUAGGGGUUCUGAGAGGAAGGUCCCCCACAUUGGAACUGAGACACGGUCCAAACUCCUACGGGAGGCAGCAUG
Molecule: ribosomal RNA, 281 nt
Filed under: uncultured bacterium
Lineage: Bacteria
Description: partial 16S ribosomal RNA
Rfam family: Bacterial small subunit ribosomal RNA
Source: RNAcentral